GAUGAAUAACGUAGCGAAAUGCGAUAAGUAGUGUGAAUUGCAGAAUUCAGUGAAUCAUCGAAUCUUUGAACGCACAUUGCGCCUCCUGGCAUUCCGGGAGGCAUGCCUGUUCGAGCGUCAUCAAACCCCAUCGUGCAAAUGAAUUAUUUUUUUUGCGCGGAAGUGACGAUUGAGCGAGAAUAACAAAUCCUCUCGCACCUCGUCGAAAUGAUUGCGGGCGGAAUUUGGGAUCGGGUUCCUCGGCGUAGUGUAUCAAUGCAUAUUUAUGCAACUUGCCGCGGAGUUGAGCCUGACCCACGCGUUCUCGCCGUACAAACACCUCAUUACUUUACAAGUUUUUGACCUCGGAUCAGGUAGGGAUACCCGCUGAACUUAAGCAUAUCAAUAAGCGGAGGA
RNAcentral lists this unclassified non-coding RNA (396 nucleotides) under soil metagenome. Its description in RNAcentral is "partial contains 5.8S ribosomal RNA, internal transcribed spacer 2, and large subunit ribosomal RNA". The stretch from base 1 to 120 matches the Rfam family "5.8S ribosomal RNA", at positions 35 to 154 of the family's 154-position model. The record is from RNAcentral.